RNAcentral lists this non-coding RNA (88 nucleotides) under pig gut metagenome. Its description in RNAcentral is "PGK RNA". It matches the Rfam family "PGK RNA". Rfam says of the family: mammalian gut metagenomes. Environment (Cow rumen (57)) The record is from RNAcentral.
AUGCUAAUCUACUAAGGACAAAUGAUAUAUCGUUGAGAAAGUAAAACUCAAAAAGAUUAGAAAUUAAGCUAAAUACUGAUAAUAUUUA